UUCAGGAAAAUAUUCAGAAAGUAUAAAAUCAAAACCAAGCCAGCUUCAUUUUCGGUUCAUCCGCAUCUCAGUUCAGAAAAAAAAUCGUGGAAAACAAAUAACCAACUCAUAGCUAUUCUAACAGAUUUUUUUUACCUUCCACUCUCCGUUGAGCUGCAUCUUCAUCGCACAAUAAGUCUGCAAUCUGCAUCUUCGUUCAACAACGACAUCACAAACCCAAAUCAAAAAACAAAAGAGGGAAUCGGAGAAAGAGGAAAACAUAAUCGUUUGGAAUGA
Molecule: non-coding RNA, 276 nt
Organism: Vicia faba (fava bean)
Lineage: Eukaryota; Viridiplantae; Streptophyta; Magnoliopsida; Fabales; Fabaceae
Source: the annotation of a GenBank genome assembly